UAUAUAUGAAGUUUAUACCAUGUAUAUAUCAUAUACACAUAUAUAAAAAUACAAACUAUAAAGAAACAUACUAAGCAUAUUUAUAUAUUUCUGGUAUAUGAUAUAAUAUACCAUAAAUAUGCAAAGCAUGUUUUACAUAGAAAUAAUUUAUUCACGCACAGUAAAAUCUUUCAUGUAUAAGAAAAUUAAAGAAAUAAAUUAGCGGCACCCUAAAAUUUAAU
This 221-nucleotide long non-coding RNA is filed under the name Capsicum annuum. Its description in RNAcentral is "long non-coding RNA (CANN_LNC003160)". Lineage: Eukaryota; Viridiplantae; Streptophyta; Magnoliopsida; Solanales; Solanaceae. The record is from RNAcentral.